This 6008-nucleotide long non-coding RNA is filed under the name Canis lupus familiaris (dog). RNAcentral describes it as "lncRNA (ENSCAFG00845028093.1)". Lineage: Eukaryota; Metazoa; Chordata; Mammalia; Carnivora; Canidae. The record is from RNAcentral.
UUUUUUUUUUCUGUAUACUUUUAAUCUCUUUCUCUUCCUUUUUAGUACAAAAAGUAUAGAAGUGAAUUGGACCUGGAGACAACUUAAUUCGAUCUUCUCCUUUUUACAAUGAGUAACAGAAUCUUAGGAAAAGAAAUAGAUCCUUAAUUUGCCUUGAAGGCAAAUUGGAUUUUUGUUACAAAAUAUACAAAUCAGUCUCCAAUAAUAUAUAAUGUGUCCAAAUCUAUAUUGGCAAAGAUGUGACCCACAAUACUUGAGUACAAUAAUAGGGGAAUCCUCUAAAUGUGGAUAAAAUCUAUUUCAUAAAAAAUAAGAAAUUAAAGAAAUUUGGAAGUUUGGAAGCAGAAAAUACAAAACUCAAAAACAAGGUACUAUACAGAAGACUCCUACAAAGGUAACCCUAGGGGGUUGCUUGGAAUCCAUUUUAAAAUUUCAAAGUUUAAAGUGAAAUACAUAAAAGGUAAAAAUGUCACAGUAAUUUUAUUUUCUAGGUUUUUGGUAGGAGAAUGUGUAUAUUAAAAAACACAGAUAAAAGAUAAAACACACAAGUACAUCAUCUAUGAUUUUCAAUAUCACAGAAGAAAUGUAAAGAUAUUAUCUCUGUAAUCUCUUCAUAAGAAAAACUACAUCAGGAUUUUGGUAUAUGUAUCUAAAACUACUUCCUCCAGUUAGAUUUACAAAGGUUUGGCUUUGAUGCCUUUCUGAAAAGAAUGUGAGGUGUGGUUUUACAGACAUGAGAAUAAAGCACAUACUUUUUCAAGAGCAGAAUCCUUGCCCACCUGUUUUGUUACUCAGGGAAGGCUUUUACUCUAUCAACUUAUGUACUUCUAACUGGGAAGUGUCAAUCAUGAAGUUUUCCGGGGAGUAUGGCCCAAGUUGCUGCACAUUGAACUUGGUCGCCAACCAGGUAAUGGUGGUAGGUAGGUUUUACCACAGCAUGAACUUCUAUGCCUUCUACAAUAACUCUGAAUAAAGACAAUCAUUUCAGCCUAUAGAAAGCAACCUGUACUAUACACUGGAAAGAAGGUAACAACUGUUAGUAAAUGAGGAUAAUCAUGUUGCAUAAAAUAACAGCAUAUUUGGUACAGAUAGAAAUAUGCCAACCUUUUGAAAAUGAUAAAUAUCUAUGAGAUAAUAUAAUACUAUGUAAUAAUGGCUUUACCUUCUAUUUGCUUGGUAUUUAUGUAUGUAUGUAUGUAUUUUAAUGCUAUAGUUCAUUUAUUUAUUUAUUUGAGAGAGAGAGAGUGCAUGAGUUGGGGCAUGGAACCGAGUGAGAGGGAGAGAGAGAAUCUUAAGCAUGCUCUAUGCUCAGCAUGGAGUUUGACAGGGAGCUCAAUCUCAUGAUUCUGAGAUCAUGACCUGAGCUAAAAUCAAAGAGUUGGAUGCUUAACUGAUGGAGCCACCCAUUGCCCCUUGCCUGCUAAUUUUUAAAAGUAAGCUGUCUUUAAAAGUGACUCUGAAAUGUACAUUUUAACAAUUGUUAUUUCAUAAAUUAUGAUUAAGUUACUUGACUAUGAAUCUUAUGUCUAGGAUUGUUUGUACUAGUGAAAUAUUUUUCAGUGUUACUUUCCCAUUAUGAACUAUUAUAGCUAUUAUUAUACUGCCCAGUGACACUUCUAUUAUAUUAAAAUAGAUAUAUUUUAAUAUUCUUAAUAAAUGAUUCUUUUUGAUAAAAAGCUCUAUUUAUAAGUCAUAUUGGUACAUUUUUUAAACAAAAUACACUGCAAAAAAUCUAUUAAAAGUAAUAUAACAGGCAGCUCUGUGGGUCACUGGCAUUAUUCCAUUAUCUAUCUCCUAAAGAACUUGGAAAUAGGGACACAAAAAUGUUUUCAAAGAAUGAAACUAUGAAGUAAAUAAAUAAGGGAUCUGGACAGAAAUGUGUGAUACCAUCACAGAGUUACAAAAUUCCUCCAACCAACAUCAUCCCCCAACCAACAUAACUACAGAAACAAUGUAUCAUCUAUUAAAAUUUGGUCCCCAGUGAUACUGGAGAAAAGGGAAAAAUCCCAGGCAGGUCUUGGCAGUGUAUUCCCUUCUUCCAGUUAUAGUGCUCUUUCCAGAUAUCCAGGGAUGCUUUCCUUAUAGUUCUCAUUUUAAAGUAAUAAAGUAUUGGUUUUAUAUACUAGUCUCUGUGAAUUUGCUUAAUAUGAAUCUACUCCUGAUAGAUUCCCUGACAAAUGAAAUGUUUUAACCUGCAAAUUUGAAUCAAGACUUGUCCUGUAGUGACAUUGGCAAAAAAAUAAAAUAAAAUAAAAAAUAAAAGUAAAUAAUUUGAAAAAUGCCACUCUCUGGAGAGUUUUCUAUGCAGUCAAUUGAUUUUCCUUAAAGACCAACAAAUUCCUGGACAAUGUCCCUUUUCAUUGAAACUGUUCUAUUUAGGAUAUCCUUUGCCAAGUAUAUUUUAAGCUUCUCCAUCAAAGGUAGAAGUUGCCUCAUCGUUGUCUGUCUGCUCUUAACAGACACUAAAUAAAUGGCUAAGCAUUGUUAUGAAGUGAUAAAAUGCAGCCAUAAGAUAUUCUAAAGCUGUAGGAUUUUCCUUUCUUAAUGUAUUCUUCUCUUUGCCAAAAAAAACAGAUGCAUUAAGAGCAGAUAACUUUGAUCCAAACAAUAUCCUAUGUAUUUGUACAAAAGACUGUUUUGUUUCAUGAACAAAUUGCUCCAAUCAAGUGAAAAGUACAUCAGAAAAAUACCCUCAUACAAUAACAAAGAGUCAUUACAGAAAAGCUGCUAAUUUCCUGUUUAUUUAGUGAUCAUCAAAGCCUCUGGAGUAAUGCUCAGAACUAGUGCAAUGAAUUACUCUUAUGUUAAAUAUCCUGUUGCAUCAUAUUGAGUAGACAAUAGCAUAUAGUCAUAGUUGUCUAUUCUUUGUUAAGAAUUUCAUUCUUAGGAAUAUGUUGUCCCACUGGUACUUUGCUCUAAUUCAGGAUGUAGCAAGACAAAUAUUUAAAAUAGGUAUUAGAUACACAUAUUUUAUUUUUUAUUUUUUAAAAGAUUUUAUUUAUUUAUUCAUGAGAGACACACAGAGAGAGGCAGAGACAUAGGCAGAGGGAGAAGCAGGCUCCCCAUGGGGAACCAGAUGUGGGAUUCAAUCCCAGGACCCUGGGAUUCAGGCCCUGAGCCAAAGGCAGACACUCAACCACUGAGCCACCCAGGAAUCCCAGAUACACAUAUUUUAGAUUUUUUUCCAUUUGCCUAUUAAUGCCCUAACACUAAAUGAAACUAUUUUAGGGUUUUAGGGGAAAAAAAUGUGUUUUUUCCCACUCCAAUGCUUUUAAUUUUGAAAAAUAUUCUCCCUUUUUGGGAGAAACUGAUAAAAUGUUAAGACACUAAUCAAAUUACUCAAGGAUUCCCAGCAAAAUUGUUGGCACAAAAUUAAAUUUUCAAGCUCCUUAUCACUUCUUUCAAAUUUUUAAAAUCUAAAACUUCCUCAUUAUUUGAAUACUUAUUAAUGAGAAUACUCAUUAAUAUUAAAUGAGAAAAAUAGCAAGUUUUUUGUCACUUCAAGGUUGGACUAUGCGGACAGAGCUAAAGACAAAGGAUCACCUCUUCUUUCAAGCUGUAAAUGAAAAAUGCACAUUAAUUCUGCCAAUUUGCCAGGGCUAUUGGGAAGUUCUUUCACAUAGGCAUGAAGACACAUAACAAUCUAUAGCUGAAAAAAAACUAAAAACGAGUUAUUUUGUGAAUGGAAUCAACAUGUGGAGAACUAGAUGAGGUAUCAUUAGUGGUUGAGUAUGCAGGAACAUACUGAAAGUUCAUACAUAUCAAGAAGUCUUCAUUUCAUCAUUUCUAACUGAACAAUUUUAUACUAAGAGGAAUAAUACUUUCUCAUAUUUGAAUAUCUCCUUCACCAAAACAGGAAAAAGGAGUCAGUCUAUGAAUUGGCAACAGAUUCUCCUUUGGCUUCAGAAUGCUCAUUGUACAUAAUACCAAACAAGAAAAAGGAAGUUAUGGUUUCUGGCUUUGAGCAUUAGUGGGAAGUACAGCCACAUGGAUGCAAUUUGCAGACAUUCUUUAAUUUUUUUCCAUAAUAUAUUUCAAUUUCAUCAUGAUGACUUUACUUUUAGCUUAAAAAACAAAACAAAAUAGAACAAAGUCUAAAGAAAACUCAAAAUGCCUUCCUUUUUUUAGUUUAAAUUCAAUUACUUACCAUAUAGUAUACUACUAAUUUCAGAAGUAGAGUUCACUGAUUCAUCAGUUGUAUAUAACAUCUAGUGUUCAUUACAUCACGUACUCUCCUUAAUGCCUGUCACCCAAUUACCUUGGCCCCAACCUCCCUCUCCUCCAGCAACCCUUAGUUUGUGUCUAUUAGUAAGUCUCUCAUGGUUUGUCUCCCUCUCUGAUUUCAUCUUGUUUUAUUUUUUUCCCCAUGCUCCUCUGUUUUGUUUCUUAAAUUCACAUAUAAGUGAGGUCAUAUGAUAAUUAUAUUUCUCUGAUUGACUUAUUUCAUUUAGCAUAAUCCCCUCUAGUUCCAUCCAUGUCAUUGCCAAUGGCAAGAUUUCUUUCUUUUUGAUGGCUGAGUAAUAUUUCAGUGUGUGUCUUUGUAUGUGUGUGUGUGUGUGUGUGUGUGUGUGUGUGUUUGUACCACUACUUCUUCUUUAUCCAUUCAUCUGUCAAUAGACAUCUGGGCUCUUUACAUAGUUUGGCUAUUGAGGACAUUGCUGCUAUAGACAUGUGGGUACAUGUGCCCAUUUGGAUCAUUUCAUUUGUAUCUUUAGGAUAAAUACCUAGUAGUGCAAUUGCUGGAUCAUAGGGUAGCUCUAUUUUAAACUUUUUGAGGAUACUCCAUACUGUUUUCCAGAGUGGCUGUACCAGCUUUCAUUCCCACCAAAAGUGUAAGAGAGUGCUCCUUUCUCCACAUCCUUGCCAGUAUCUGUGGUUUCCUGACUUGUUAAUUUAAGGCAUUCUGAUUAGUGUGAGGUGACAUGUCAUUGUGGUUUUGAUUUUUAUUUUCCUGAUGCUGAGUGAUGUUGAGCAAUUUUCAUGUCUGUUUUGUAUGUGUUUGUAUGUCUUCUCUGGAGAAAUUUCUAUUCAUAUCUUCUGCCCAUUUCUUGACUGGAUUAUUUGUUUUUUGAAUGUUGAGUUUGAUAAGUUCUUUAUAGAUUUUAUAUACUAGCCCUUUACGUGAUAAGACAUUUGCAAAUUUCUUCUCCUAUUUUUAGGUUGCCUUUUGGUUUUGUUGACUCUUGCCUUUUCAAAAUGCCUUAUUUUAAAGAAUUAUAUUUUGGUUUUGGAACUAUGACUUGCAAAAUAUUAGGAUUGUCAUAUCUAUAUACACAACCUGUUUUACACUGAUAACUUUGCACGCAGGAGUCUGGCUUACCCAUAAAAAAACAUCAUUUGAUAGGCAAACAAUUGGUCAAAUUUCACUAAGCAAUAGAUUUGUCUGAAUUUCUACCAUAUUAUCUAAUAAUACCAAUUUCCCUGAUUGCCUUUUCGUGUUCUCCCUCUUUUCUUUUGCCCCACCUUCACCUCCAGUUCUUUUUGAAUAUAUGUUCUGAAUAUAUGUUCUCGUUACUUAAGCUGGAAUUAAUAUAAGGAAUAUCACUGUAUCUUAUUCAUCUCUAUAUUCAGUAAUAAAUCCCUGGGCUAGUCCUGGCAUGAAGUUGUUAUUUAAUACAUGUUUGCUGAAUAAAUAAAAAAAGUAUGUAUCAAAUUGACUUAAUUGACUUUAUUUAUAUCAACUCCAUUGGUAGGAAACACUUCAAACACUUCAUACUUGCUUACUUAGCUAACUGAAUGGUUGGCUAAGCCAAAUCUUAGGAGCAUUGCUUGUCAAUGCUCAAAUAAUUAUCUCAGAAUGAAAACUGCUAACCAUUUUGAGGCCACAGCAGUUGAGAAUCUUCAAGAAAGUUUUUAUUACCAAAUUGGAGUACAGUGGAUAUAAUAAUAUAAUUUGUUUUAGGUCAGUUUAUAUCAAUAUAUAACCAUAAAUAUAAAGUUUAAAAAAUUGCUAUUCUAUUUUGGAAGCCCUUUAUCAUUCACAAAAACAUAGUUAAAUCGAGUAAAUU